AGCGAACAUUGGCGGUAGGCUUAACACAUGCAAGUCGAGUGAGGCGUAAUAGUCGAGCGGCGAACGGGUGCGUAAUACAUGGGAAUCUACCUCGAAGUGGGGGAUAACGUUCAGAAAUGGACGCUAAUACCGCAUAAUCCAUAUUGGGAAAGCGUUGCAGCGCUUUGAGAUGAGCCCAUGGCUGAUUAGCUAGUUGGUGAGGUAAUGGCUCACCAAGGCGACGAUCAGCAGCUGGUCUGAGAGGAUGACCAGCCACUCUGGAACUGAGACACGGUCCAGACUCCUACGGGAGGCAGCAGUGGGGAAUCUUGCGCAAUGGGGGCAACCCUGACGCAGCCAUACCGCGUGAGUGAUGAAGGUCUUCGGAUUGUAAAGCUCUUUCGGCGGGGACGACGAUGACGGUACCCGCAAAAGAAGUCACGGCUAACUUCGUGCCAGCCGCCGCCGUAA
RNAcentral lists this ribosomal RNA (450 nucleotides) under uncultured bacterium. RNAcentral describes it as "partial 16S ribosomal RNA". It matches the Rfam family "Bacterial small subunit ribosomal RNA", at positions 29 to 523 of the family's 1533-position model. The record is from RNAcentral.